RNAcentral lists this ribosomal RNA (207 nucleotides) under uncultured Eubacteriales bacterium. RNAcentral describes it as "uncultured Clostridiales bacterium partial 16S ribosomal RNA". It matches the Rfam family "Bacterial small subunit ribosomal RNA", at positions 568 to 774 of the family's 1533-position model. Lineage: Bacteria; Bacillati; Bacillota; Clostridia; Eubacteriales. The record is from RNAcentral.
CGUGUAGGCGGGAUGACAAGUCAGAUGUGAAAUGCCAGGGCUUAACUCUGGAGCUGCAUUUGAAACUGUUAUUCUUGAGUAUCGGAGAGGCAGGCGGAAUUCCUAGUGUAGCGGUGAAAUGCGUAGAUAUUAGGAGGAACACCAGUGGCGAAGGCGGCCUGCUGGACGACAACUGACGCUGAGGCGCGAAAGCGUGGGGAGCAAACA